CAGGCAGAUUCAUUCGUCUUUAGCAGUUGUUAUCUGUGCUGGGAAGAAAGGGAAUAAAAAGAUCUGGAUCAUCACAGUUGUCCUGUCAUUGGGUCUUCUGACUGUCCUUCAGCAACUUUACUUAAUACCCAACACCAUUUACAGCCUGUUGAUUGCAGUGCCUAUAAUCCUAAGCAAUUUCAUGUCAACAUUUCAAAUUGAGCUAAAUGUUUCAUAAGAGCUCAAUGUUUUGUCAGAUGUUUUCCAUCCAGACAUUAAAAUUUGUCAUGGUAAAAAGGUA
Molecule: long non-coding RNA, 280 nt
Organism: Poecilia latipinna (sailfin molly)
Lineage: Eukaryota; Metazoa; Chordata; Actinopteri; Cyprinodontiformes; Poeciliidae
Exons: 2
Source: RefSeq, a predicted model, not a curated record